Apis dorsata (giant honeybee) is the source of this 742-nucleotide long non-coding RNA. RefSeq lists it as uncharacterized. The record is from RefSeq and is a predicted model, not a curated record. The transcript is spliced from 2 exons. NCBI's taxonomy places the organism in Eukaryota, Metazoa, Arthropoda, Insecta, Hymenoptera, Apidae.
AAUUUAUUUCUUGGAAAAUUAAAGAGAAAUCUUAAAACGAGGCCACUCGAAGAGACUUAGUAUUGGCACUCGACCGUUACAAUGGCUGGCGAUUGGUCGGAGGCGGGUAACCGGAAACGUGGCCGAAGAGUAGCCUGUGACAAACGGCGCCGCGUAUCGCGAGCACCGUUAUAAAACAAAUGCGGAUGGAACAAAGCUGACAGUGGCCGAACGAAACGAACAACGCGGAAUCCAAGGGUGAAAGUGGGCGAGGCCUCCGGCUAAGGGGGUAGUUCGGCUAAUGCGCGAUGAUUAAACUAACGGCUGCCACCAAUCACUCCGCCACGAAAACUCUCCCAUUCUCUGUCAUUCCAAACCUCGAGACGUCCAAUUUUUUUCCUUCCUAGUUUUCCUUCUAAUUUUUUUCUUUUUCUCCUUCUUAUUCUUGACAUAGUUUUUCGUGUUAUACUUCUUCGUCAUUGGACCGAAAUUAUUAAUCGAAAUGGACGGAGGAAAAAGUUAAUUCAGAAAAGAGUGUAAAAUUGAUAUUGUAGAAAAUUCAUUAAUGUAAAAUUUAUUAUCCAUCGAGUGUUUGUCUUCGACAGAAUUAUCGAGUCAUCGUACGUUCUAGGCGAAAAUCGUUUAUACGAUAUUUUAUACAUUUUCAUUUGAUAUUGUAAAAAAAAAAAAAAAAGAAAAGAAACAAGGAGAAUUUAACUCGAAAUUAAUUCACGGCCGCAUGUGCGAUAAUCUCGAGCAAACA